RNAcentral lists this ribosomal RNA (449 nucleotides) under uncultured bacterium. RNAcentral describes it as "partial 16S ribosomal RNA". It matches the Rfam family "Bacterial small subunit ribosomal RNA", at positions 29 to 523 of the family's 1533-position model. The record is from RNAcentral.
AACGAACGCUUGCGGCAUGCCUAACACAUGCAAGUCGAACGAGAUCUUCGGGUCUAGUGGCGCACGGGUGCGUAACGCGUGGGAAUCUGCCCUUUGGUUCGGAAUAACGGUUGGAAACGACUGCUAAUACCGGAUGAUGACGAAAGUCCAAAGAUUUAUCGCCAGAGGAUGAGCCCGCGUAGGAUUAGCUAGUUGGUGUGGUAAAGGCGCACCAAGGCGACAAUCCUUAGCUGGUCUGAGAGGAUGAUCAGCCACACUGGGACUGAGACACGGCCCGGCCUCGUACGGGAGGCAACGCGGGGGAAGAUAGGACAACGGGAGAAAGCCUGAUCCAGCAAUGCCGCGUGGGUGAUGAAGGCCUUAGGGUUGUAAAGCUCUUUUACCCGGGAUGAUAAUGACAGUACCGGGAGAAUAAGCUCCGGCUAACUCCGUGCCUGCAGCCGCCGCCG